AGUGAACGCUGGCGGUAGGCCUAACACAUGCAAGUCGAACGGCAGCACAGUAAGAGCUUGCUCUUACGGGUGGCGAGUGGCGGACGGGUGAGGAAUACAUCGGAAUCUACUUUUUCGUGGGGGAUAACGUAGGGAAACUUACGCUAAUACCGCAUACGACCUACGGGUGAAAGCAGGGGAUCUUCGGACCUUGCGCGAUUGAAUGAGCCGAUGUCGGAUUAGCUAGUUGGCGGGGUAAAGGCCCACCAAGGCGACGAUCCGUAGCUGGUCUGAGAGGAUGAUCAGCCACACUGGAACUGAGACACGGUCCAGACUCCUACGGGAGGCAGCAGUGGGGAAUAUUGGACAAUGGGCGGAAGCCUGAUCCAGCCAUACCGCGUGGGUGAAGGAGGCCUUCGGGUUUUAAAGCCCUUUUGUUGGGAAAGAAAAGCAGCAGGUUAAUACCCCGCUGUUCUGACGGUACCCAAAGAAUAAGCACCGGCUAACUUCGUG
RNAcentral lists this ribosomal RNA (492 nucleotides) under uncultured bacterium. RNAcentral describes it as "partial 16S ribosomal RNA". It matches the Rfam family "Bacterial small subunit ribosomal RNA", at positions 29 to 507 of the family's 1533-position model. The record is from RNAcentral.